GAGGAACAUACAGAGGAAUACGAUGAGGAAUAUUGGAAGGAAUGUGCAAUAGAAAUGUCUUUGCAGGAUGAAAGACUUGAAACGCAUAAGUUCACCAACACGUUUCCAACAUUGUUCGACGAAGUGCACUCCACAUCGGUCGAUACCCACCCUCGUCCAGCAAAACAACCGCUCACAUCGAUCGACACCAGUAAAGGAACAUCGAUCGAUAUUCGCGCCG
Molecule: long non-coding RNA, 220 nt
Filed under: Brassica napus (rape)
Lineage: Eukaryota; Viridiplantae; Streptophyta; Magnoliopsida; Brassicales; Brassicaceae
Description: long non-coding RNA (BNAP_LNC000465)
Source: RNAcentral